CUGGCAUGAUUGACAGAUUGAGAGCUCUUUCUCGAUUCAGUGGACGGUGGUGCAUGGCCGUUCUUAGUUGGUGGAGUGAUCUGUCUGGUUAAUUCCGAUAACGAACGAGACUCUCCUCUGCUAAAUAGUCGGCUGGAUCUUGAAUUGCUGAGUUGCUCACUGCCGCGUUCGCGCGUGUCUGCGCUCUUGCGUUUUGCGGUUGUCGUUAGCCUUCACGGGCGGCGGUGGCUUGCGGGCGCUUGUCGGCGUGGCGCGUUGCGGGCGCGUGUCUGUGGCACUCCAAGUCCGUCGGCUCACGCCCGCUAUUGCGGGUUGUGUGGUACAAGUUCUUCUUAGAGAGAUUGACGGCUCUGAAGCCGUACGAGAAUGAGAGCAAUAACAGGUCUGUGAUGCCCUCAGAUGCCCUGGGCCGCACGCGCGCUACAAUGCUGGACACAGCAGGUCUAGCCUGCUCCGAGAGGAGCGGGUAACCCUGUCAAAGUCCUGAGUUGUGUAUCGAGCAUCACUUCGUGGUGCAUUGGGCGUGCUUGGGCCUGGGGCUUGCAAUUCUUUCCCACAAACAAGGAAUGCCUUGUAGUGGCGAGUCACUGAGCUCGCUGUGACUCAGUCCCUGCCCUUUGUACACACCGCCCGUCGCUACUACCGAUUGGGUGUACCAGUGAGAACCUUGGACUGGCGUCCGGUGCCUCGCGCACCUGGGUCUGACGGAAAGAGGUUCGAACUGGUGCACUUAGAGGAAGUAAAAGUC
RNAcentral lists this ribosomal RNA (748 nucleotides) under Parorchestia tenuis. RNAcentral's name for it is "SSU rRNA". It matches the Rfam family "Eukaryotic small subunit ribosomal RNA", at positions 1231 to 1790 of the family's 1831-position model. Lineage: Eukaryota; Metazoa; Arthropoda; Malacostraca; Amphipoda; Makawidae. The record is from RNAcentral.